RNAcentral lists this transfer-messenger RNA (403 nucleotides) under Minisyncoccia. RNAcentral's name for it is "g UBA9973 X2 Standard tmRNA". It matches the Rfam family "transfer-messenger RNA". Rfam says of the family: Bacterial tmRNA, also known as 10Sa RNA or SsrA, is named for its dual tRNA and mRNA-like properties. Its role is to liberate the mRNA from a stalled ribosome. The record is from RNAcentral. Lineage: Bacteria; Bacillati; Minisyncoccota.
GGGGAUGCAAGGCAUAGACAGUAGGUCUACUUGUAAAGAUGCAUGUUGAGCAUGAACGUAAUCUCAUUAAAAUUCGUUCAAAUGUUAAUUGCAAAAUUAGCUUCCAAAGUGAGAGCAACUGUUUCUCCAUACUUCGGUUUGGCAGACUUUUCUUUCGCUCGAGUUUCCGCUUCGGCGUAAGCUCGUGUCUUUCUCAUAGACUUCCGAUAUAUGGGAGUUAGGCAUAAUAUUAUCGGGAUAGGGAAGAGCAAGUCUCGGGCUUUUCUAGAAAACAAUAGAGAAUCGAUUAAAAAAUAUUUUGUUCGUUUAAUAAUUUUUUAAUCUAAAACAAAAACGCGCCACACAUGUAGAUUUCUUUGCAAAAACUUUCUGCACCGGGGUUCAAUUCCCCGCAUCUCCACUC